CUGUGUUAGGUUUUUGUUCCAUUCCGUUCUUUUUUAAAAGUCUUAGGGCACAUGACUAAGGACUCCUUCGUCGUAGGAGUUGCUUUAUCUGGGCACAAGUUUUGUGCUGGGGAAACUGUCCUCACCGGACUUACUUCUCCUUGGAAUACAUUUGCUUUGUGGAGGUUAUCCACACUUGCUAUUGUGGGUUUUCUCAAUGUUAGUGAAGGAAACGUACUGGUGGACGGGGGCGUAGAAGAAGUUCCCACUAUAUCAAUGUUGCAAAGUAUUUAUCCUGAAACUACAAAAGCGAAACUUAUUAAACUUUCCGAC
Molecule: long non-coding RNA, 312 nt
Organism: Zophobas morio
Lineage: Eukaryota; Metazoa; Arthropoda; Insecta; Coleoptera; Tenebrionidae
Exons: 3
Source: RefSeq, a predicted model, not a curated record